AAAACUUCUGUGGCAGAAGUCCCCUUGGAGUUCACAUCGGAUAAUGAGAGGUGGCGAUAUGCCAACUGCUGGCAUUCUACAUUGCAGCCAUGUAUUUCAUGCUGAAUGCUUGGAGCAAGUAACCCCUAAAAUCCAGAUUCAUGAUCCUCCUUGCCCCUUGUGCUUGAAAACAAUUGGAGCAAUGGAAGAAUCCUCAUCUGUAUCCGAACCAUUGCAGAUGGCCUUAAGAUCUAUCCGAAGAGGCAGAGGGGUUGCCAUAUCUGAGCCGCUGGGAAAUCAGCGCAAUUGUAACAGUGAAAACCCACAUCAGAUUGACACAGUAAAGAGAAGCUGGGCAGGGGUAGUACCUCGCUGGAGCAAUGGUGGUUCUUCCUUAAGGAAUCGUCUUAAAAGGCAUUUCAACUUUAAUGGAAAAGCGAGCAAAGAUAUCUUCGGUGCAAAGGUGUUGCAGAGGAUUGGAUCAUCGUCUUCUAGCAGAGAACGAGUUCGAG
This 491-nucleotide long non-coding RNA is filed under the name Carica papaya (papaya). RNAcentral describes it as "long non-coding RNA (CPAP_LNC008724)". Lineage: Eukaryota; Viridiplantae; Streptophyta; Magnoliopsida; Brassicales; Caricaceae. The record is from RNAcentral.